This 292-nucleotide ribosomal RNA is filed under the name uncultured bacterium. Its description in RNAcentral is "partial 16S ribosomal RNA". It matches the Rfam family "Bacterial small subunit ribosomal RNA", at positions 505 to 796 of the family's 1533-position model. The record is from RNAcentral.
GUGUCAGCCGCCGCGGUAAUACGGAGGAUGCAAGCGUUAUCCGGAAUGAUUGGGCGUAAAGCGUCCGCAGGUGGCUGUGUAAGUCUGCUGUCAAAGAGCGAAGCUCAACUUCGUAAAGGCAGUGGAAACUACACGGCUAGAGUGCGUUCGGGGCAGAGGGAAUUCCUGGUGUAGCGGUGAAAUGCGUAGAGAUCAGGAAGAACACCGGUGGCGAAGGCGCUCUGCUAGGCCGCAACUGACACUGAGGGACGAAAGCUAGGGGAGCGAAUGGGAUUAGAUACCCUCGUAGUCC